RNAcentral lists this ribosomal RNA (245 nucleotides) under uncultured Byssovorax sp. RNAcentral describes it as "partial 16S ribosomal RNA". It matches the Rfam family "Bacterial small subunit ribosomal RNA", at positions 524 to 768 of the family's 1533-position model. Lineage: Bacteria; Pseudomonadati; Myxococcota; Polyangiales; Polyangiaceae. The record is from RNAcentral.
GACAGAGGGUGCAAACGUUGUUCGGAAUUACUGGGCGUAAAGCGCGUGUAGGCUGCUCGGAAAGUCGGAUGUGAAAGCCCUGGGCUUAACCCAGGAAGUGCAUUCGAAACUUCCAAGCUCGAGUCCUGGAGAGGGUGGCGGAAUUCUCGGUGUAGAGGUGAAAUUCGUAGAUAUCGAGAGGAACACCGGCGGCGAAGGCGGCCACCUGGACAGUGACUGACGCUGAGACGCGAAAGCGUGGGGAG